CCUACGGGUGGCAGCAGUGGGGAAUAUUGGGCAAUGGACGCAAGUCUGACCCAGCAACGCCGCGUGAAGGAAGAAGGCUUUCGGGUUGUAAACUCCUUUUAAGGGGGAAGCGCAGAAGACGGUACCCCUUGAAUAAGCUACGGCUAACUACGUGCCAGCAGCCGCGGUAAUGCGUAGGUGGCAAGUGUUGUCCGGAUUUACUGGGUGUAAAGGGCGUGCAGCCGGGAAGACAAGGCAGAUGUGAAAUCCCGCGGCUCAACCGCGGAACUGCAUUUGAAACUGUUUGUCUUGAGUAGCAGAGAGGUAAGCGGAAUUCCUAGUGUAGCGGUGAAAUGCGUAGAUAUUAGGAAGAACACCAGUGGCGAAGGCAGAUUGCUGGACGACAACUGACGGUGAGGCGCGAAAGCGUGGGGAGCAAACAGGAUUAGAUACCCCGGUAGUC
RNAcentral lists this ribosomal RNA (442 nucleotides) under uncultured bacterium. Its description in RNAcentral is "partial 16S ribosomal RNA". It matches the Rfam family "Bacterial small subunit ribosomal RNA", at positions 338 to 795 of the family's 1533-position model. The record is from RNAcentral.